RNAcentral lists this ribosomal RNA (508 nucleotides) under uncultured bacterium. RNAcentral describes it as "partial 16S ribosomal RNA". It matches the Rfam family "Bacterial small subunit ribosomal RNA", at positions 30 to 523 of the family's 1533-position model. The record is from RNAcentral.
AUUGGACGCUGGCGGCAUGCCUUACACAUGCAAGUCGAACGGCAGCGGGGGAGAAGCUUGCUUUUCCUACCGGCGAGUGGCGAACGGGUGGGUAAUACAUCGGAACGUGCCCUGUAGUGGGGGAUAACUAGUCGAAAGAUUAGCUAAUACCGCAUACGACCUGAGGGUGAAAGUGGGGGACCGCAAGGCCUCAUGCUAUAGGAGCGGCCGAUGUCUGAUUAGCUAGUUGGUGGGGUAAAGGCCUACCAAGGCGACGAUCAGUAGUUGGUCUGUAAGGACGAUAAGCCACACUGGGACUGAGACACGGCACAGACUCCUACGGGAAGCAGCAGUGGGGAAUUUUGGAAAAUGGGCGAAAGCCUGAUUCAGCAAUGCCGCGUGUGUGAAGAAGGCCUUCGGGUUGUAAAGCACUUUUGUCCGGAAAGAAAUGGCUCUGGUUAAUACCUGGGGUCGAUGACGGUACCGGAAGAAUAAGGACCGGCUAACUACGUGCCAGCCGCCGCAGUAA